GGAAUAUUGGUCAAUGGGCGGAAGCCUGAACCAGCCAUGCCGCGUGAGGGAUGGAGGCCCUAUGGGUUGUAAACCUCUUUUAGCCGGGAGUAAUAAGGGCGGUGCGCCGUCCGAUGAGAGUACCGGCGGAAUAAGCAUCGGCUAACUCCGUGCCAGCAGCCGCGGUAAUACGGAGGAUGCGAGCGUUAUCCGGAUUUAUUGGGUUUAAAGGGUGCGCAGGCGGCGCGUUAAGUCAGCGGUGAAAUGCCCCGGCUCAACCGGGGAGCUGCCGUUGAUACUGGCGUGCUGGAGUGCGAACGGCGCCGGCGGAAUGUGCAAUGUAGCGGUGAAAUGCAUAGAUAUUGCACAGAACACCGAUCGCGAAGGCAGCUGGCGAGGACGCAACUGACGCUGAGGCACGAAGGCGUGGGGAUCGAACA
This 419-nucleotide ribosomal RNA is filed under the name uncultured bacterium. RNAcentral's name for it is "bacterial SSU rRNA". It matches the Rfam family "Bacterial small subunit ribosomal RNA", at positions 358 to 774 of the family's 1533-position model. The record is from RNAcentral.